AUAGAUACCCCGGUAGUCCACGCCGUAAACGAUGAGUGCUAAGUGUUAGAGGGUUUCCGCCCUUUAGUGCUGCAGCUAACGCAUUAAGCACUCCGCCUGGGGAGUACGACCGCAAGGUUGAAACUCAAAGGAAUUGACGGGGGCCCGCACAAGCGGUGGAGCAUGUGGUUUAAUUCGAAGCAACGCGAAGAACCUUACCAGGUCUUGGCAUCCCCUUGACCUCCCUAGAGAUAGGGAUUUCCCUUCGGGGACAAGGGUGACAGGUGGUGCAUGGUUGUCGUCAGCUCGUGUCGUGAGAUGUUGGGUUAAGUCCCGCAACGAGCGCAACCCUUGAGAUUAGUUGCCAGCAUUUAGUUGGGCACUCUAAUCUGACUGCCGGUGACAAACCGGAGGAAGGUGGGGAUGACGUCAAAUCAUCAUGCCCCUUAUGACCUGGGCUACACACGUGCUACAAUGGAUGGUACAAAGAGCAGCGAAGCCGCGAGGCUUAGCCAAUCCCAUAAAACCAUUCUCAGUUCGGAUUGCAGG
This 528-nucleotide ribosomal RNA is filed under the name uncultured bacterium. Its description in RNAcentral is "bacterial SSU rRNA". It matches the Rfam family "Bacterial small subunit ribosomal RNA", at positions 778 to 1304 of the family's 1533-position model. The record is from RNAcentral.